UACGGGGGGGGUAAGCGUUGUUCGGAAUUACUGGGCGUAAAGGGCUCGUAGGCGGCCAACUAAGUCAGACGUGAAAUCCCUCAGCUUAACUGGGGAACUGCGUCUGAUACUGGAUGGCUUGGAUCCGGGAGAGGGAUGCGGAAUUCCAGGUGUAGCGGUGAAAUGCGUAGAUAUCUGGAGGAACACCGGUGGCGAAGGCGGCGUUCUGGACUGUUACUGACACUGAGGAACGAAAGCCAGGGGAGCAAACGGG
Molecule: ribosomal RNA, 253 nt
Filed under: uncultured bacterium
Lineage: Bacteria
Description: partial 16S ribosomal RNA
Rfam family: Bacterial small subunit ribosomal RNA
Source: RNAcentral